AGGCAGGAAGUGACAUAGCAAGGAGACUCAUAUUUAAGCGAAGGAGAAACAGGAAGGGCCCCCUUUUUCCCUUCCGCUCCUGCUCCAGCGGCAAGAUGUGAUCCCAGCAAGGAGGGACGCCAAUAAGGAUGAGAUGCUACCUGUGCCACAUAACAGGGUAACUUUUGCCAGGGAUCAUAAGACAGGAUCUGGAGGUGUACCCCAAGACUACCUGGAGCAAGCAAAAUGCAUGAAUGGACUGGUCUGAAAUGGAUGCUGACUGAUAGUCACAGGAGAUUGGACCUGUGAGGAAGUGUAACAAAAAGACACUUGAACCUCUCUGUUUAGUAAAACAAAAAGUUUAAAGUUUGCAUAGGCAGCUGCUGAGGGUAGGGAUGGAGACAUUGAGAGCAAGCAAGAAUGUUGGGAUUAAUAUACAAACAAGAUACAAGGAUAAAUAUUCGGGAAUAUUUAGUAACAAUGGUGUCUCAUUUCUGAGUAUAUUGUUAGCCAGGCAUUGCUGCAAUGCCACUGUUUUGUGCAUGCAGAGUUUGGCUCUCAGACUGAGAAUAUAGAGGUAAAGCUUACAGAGGUGAAAGGUUCUAAUGAGAACAAAUGAACCACUUUUGGGAAAGGAAGCUGGUCAUCUUACAGUAAACCAGAUGAAGGACCAAGCUGCUGAUCAUGUUUUUAUAGAGAAGGAUCAUCCCAGAAGCCUGGAGGCCUUAGGAUCUUCUAGAUAAAGUUUAGAGUACUUCUGAAAUCCCUCUUCUUGUUCCUACCCAUGUAAUGUUACCUAUUACAUGCCCAGCAAAAGUGUUCACCAUUUAAAGAAUUCCAUCUGAAAAUUUUAGUCAUGACCUGGGCA
This 847-nucleotide long non-coding RNA is filed under the name Cricetulus griseus (Chinese hamster). RNAcentral describes it as "lncRNA (ENSCGRG00015037780.1)". Lineage: Eukaryota; Metazoa; Chordata; Mammalia; Rodentia; Cricetidae. The record is from RNAcentral.